GCAGCUUUAGCUCACUUGGGAGAGCGCCAGACUGAAGUCCUAACUUUGGUUUCAAAAGCGAAUCAGGCAUCUGAUCUCGUGAUCUGGAGGUAUUGAGUUCGAUCCUCAAAAGCUGCA
Molecule: non-coding RNA, 117 nt
Organism: Piedraia hortae CBS 480.64
Lineage: Eukaryota; Fungi; Ascomycota; Dothideomycetes; Capnodiales; Piedraiaceae
Source: the annotation of a GenBank genome assembly